RNAcentral lists this transfer RNA (66 nucleotides) under Limnoperna fortunei. Its description in RNAcentral is "tRNA-Leu". Lineage: Eukaryota; Metazoa; Mollusca; Bivalvia; Mytilida; Modiolidae. The record is from RNAcentral.
GAUCAAUAAGCAAAAAAAUGCGAUUUCUUUUAGGAGGAAAUAGUUGGGUUGGCUUACUCAUUGAUU